Molecule: ribosomal RNA, 530 nt
Filed under: Palaemon antennarius
Lineage: Eukaryota; Metazoa; Arthropoda; Malacostraca; Decapoda; Palaemonidae
Description: partial 16S ribosomal RNA
Rfam family: Bacterial large subunit ribosomal RNA
Source: RNAcentral
GUCUGUGUGAUAAUAAAUAUAAAGUCUAGCCUGCCCACUGACAUUUUAAAGGGCUGCGGUAAUUUGACCGUGCAAAGGUAGCAUAAUCAGUAGUCUCUUAAUUGGAGGCUUGUAUGAACGGUUGGAUGAGAGAGAAGCUGUCUCUUUUGUAAUUUAAAACUUGACUUUUAAGUGAAAAGGCUUAAAUUAGAUGGGGGGACGAUAAGACCCUAUAAAACUUUAUACGCUGUUUAAUUUGUCUUUGAAUUUUAAAUAAAUUAAAGUGAAUUAGCCAGUGUAUUUCGUUGGGGAGACGUUAAUAUAAAUUGUAACUGUUUAAUUAAAAAAUAUAAAUAUAAUUAUGGUAUGAUCCUUCUUUGUGGAUUAAAAGAUUAAGUUACUUUAGGGAUAACAGCGUAAUUUUUUCUGAGAGUUCUUAUCGAAGAAAGUAGUUGCGACCUCGAUGUUGAAUUAAAAUUUCUGUUAGGUGUAGCCGCUUAAUUAGUAGGUCUGUUCGACCUUUAAAAUUUUACAUGAUUUGAGUUCAAACC